This is a long non-coding RNA of Cryptotermes secundus, 224 nucleotides long. RefSeq lists it as uncharacterized. The transcript is spliced from 3 exons. Lineage: Eukaryota; Metazoa; Arthropoda; Insecta; Blattodea; Kalotermitidae. The record is from RefSeq and is a predicted model, not a curated record.
CCUAAACAAAACAAUUUGAAUUCCCGCAAUUAUAUGCGGUUAUGGUGGAUCAAUAUAGGCAAAUUGUAUAAAUAUGAAAACGGAAACAUGUGCUUUUGUUGGGUGCUUGUCGUCCAGCAAGCAAGGCAUGAGAAUCUUCAAUUUUCCAAGGGAUCCAGCACGUCCCGUGAAAGAAGCGACAAGUUUCCAGGAGCAUUGCUUCCUCUCGUUGUUUGAAACGGCAA